This 454-nucleotide ribosomal RNA is filed under the name uncultured bacterium. Its description in RNAcentral is "partial 16S ribosomal RNA". It matches the Rfam family "Bacterial small subunit ribosomal RNA", at positions 341 to 792 of the family's 1533-position model. The record is from RNAcentral.
ACGGGAGGCAGCAGUGAGGAAUAUUGGUCAAUGGGCGGAAGCCUGAACCAGCCAUGCCGCGUGAAGGAUUAAGGCCCUAUGGGUCGUAAACUUCUUUUGUACGGGAGCAAUAAGGUCCACGUGUGGACUGAUGAGAGUACCGUACGAAUAAGCAUCGGCUAACUCCGUGCCAGCAGCCGCGGUAAUACGGAGGAUGCGAGCGUUAUCCGGAUUUAUUGGGUUUAAAGGGUGCGUAGGCGGCUUGGUAAGUCAGCGGUGAAAGCUCGGGGCUCAACUCCGGAACUGCCGUUGAUACUGUCGGGCUUGAAUGCGGAUGCCGUGGGAGGAAUGUGUGGUGUAGCGGUGAAAUGCAUAGAUAUCACACAGAACACCGAUUGCGAAGGCAUCUCACGAAUCCGCGAUUGACGCUGAGGCACGAAAGUGUGGGGAUCAAACAGGAUUAGAUACCCUGGUA